CCUAUCGAAAAAUUUUAAAAUGCAACAGGUAUAUUAGUGACGUGACGUAACAAACCAAUCAAAUUAAUUCUUUUAAGAAUAUAUGUCCCAUCAUGAUUGUAAAAAAGUAUUUUUAUUGUACUUUUGUUUGAAAAGAAGAAAUGUGAUUGGCUUGUUAUUGAUGACGUGGUGCAAGUGUGACAGUGUAGAAUUCCUCCACCCCUAUCUCUUCCCUCUCCCUUCUUUAUUAACACAAAUAUAUAUAUAUAUAUAUAUAUAUAUAUCCCAUCACCCCCAAGGCCGAAAAGAAAAGACAGGGGUUCAUGGGUCUUUGUAGCGGACCAUACUUGGACGGUGGGAGCUUAACUAAGAGUGUGCUUAAUGCUAAUAACUCUGAAUCAUCAGAUUCUAAUGGAAAGUUUAGGAAGGUUAAUGAUGAUUAAGAUAAGACAAAGUGUGCUUUGGGAAUACAACUGCAUGUGCUGUAUAAGAAGAGAAAAUGCCUCGGGUACUGCAACAAAUGAUCCUUAUAUACCACUAAUAUAUUAAUUAGUAUUAUAAAAUUAAAUCUUUCACUCCAUAUAUAGAUAUUGGUAAGAUGCCUUAAUCCAUAUUCUAAUCACUAGAAUCUUUCUUAUUAAAGAUAAAAAUACAAUAAAAAUAUUGUUUCAAAAACUAUGAAAUAGAUAAAAUUUACAAGCUAAUAUAAUUACUUGAAGGCAUCACAUUUUUGUGGAAACCAGUUGCCGGCGUGAGCGGCUUACAAUGACAACCUAAAUAUUAAAAAUUAAUUUAUUUAUAUACUUCGUAAAUUUAAAAAGUUCUAUAUAGAUAUUGUUACCUUAAACCUAAUUUUCAGAAAUUACAUAAUACCUCUUUACUAUAUCGGAUUCUAAAAUUAUAUGAAACAAAUUAGAAAUACAUUUUUAAAACUUUGGAUUUUUAUAUUACAAAAAUACUAUAUUUCUAUAAAAAUAAUUUGAAUUUUAAAGUACUUAUUUUUAAAAAUAGAUAUAUAUAACAUACUACCGGUUUCAUUUAUUUUAUUUUAAAGUAAAUUUAGCUAAAAAUAUGAAUCAAUUAAAAUUCGAAAUUGAGAUUUAGAAUAUCAACCACCAAAUUUUUUUUUUGCUAUUUGCGCUAGCAACCUCAUGUACUAAUCAUGUUGCAUGGAUGCACGCAAAACGUAGGAAAACCUUUCAUCCUCAUUGGCUGGAAAGCGCAUCCUGCAUGUGCUGCUUCCUUUGCUGGGCUGGUUGAUGUGAGACUCGGCCAAUAAAAAUAGAUUCCACGCGAAAUUAUUCAAAUUUUUUUUCUUUUUUUUUUGUCGGGAUAGUCGUUGCCCUUUCAUAGCAUCAAAUGCUUGUGGAAAAUUCUAAAUUUUUCGAUUCUCGAACACAACUAAAUGCUGUAACCUUCGUUUGGGGAAAAUAGACAGUAUAUAUACUUUCAUUCACAGCAGAAGAGUUUUAAUUAAAUUUUAAAUAUAAUUUAAGAUUAUUCUAUAAAUUUGACACGAGCUAGGCUCUACUAGGAUGCCGUACGAAUUCAGUUCUGCUACAUGCAUGAGAUAUCAUACAAACUGGUUCAGAAGAAAUGUUGUAAGUCAAAUCAAGUUAUGAUCUAAGCUAGAAGAGAACUAGACAAAAUCCAAUUGAAAACUAAGCCAUGAAAUUCAAUUUAAAAACUAGAGAAAAAUCACCUGAGAACUGAACAAAGCCGGUUGAAACAUGACUAAACCAAAGAUACUGGCAAAACAGGCCCGCAAGAAAGGUGUGAAUCAACCUCUAAUAUUACGCUAAAAGAACUCAGGUGCGACCCAAAAAUUUAAACUAAAAAAGGAUUAAAAUAGCGCUCCACGUACAUUAUAUAUAUAGAUAGAAAUUUUGAUUUCUAGUGACAAGAAUUCUAUGCAGACCAUACUAUAACAUCACUGGUGUUAUGGAAUGACCAACCAUCCUUAACAUGAGUAGCAAAGAGCUUAUUAUUUGAUAUCCGAGCUUAAUUAUUUUAUAUUAUUAACUAAAUUUAAUUCUAAAAAAAUCGACAAUAUUCCUCUCUUACCAAAAAAAAAAGCUAAUGUUAUGGAAAGAAAAGUCGUUGGGGUGACCAAAUCGUUUCAAAUAUUAUAAACAAACAAACGAGUUACUAAGGAAUGUCCCUAGUUUGGGGGGAAUUAGGAAGGGUCCCACUGAAAAACAAUCCCACCUAAAAAGAAAUAAGAAAAAGGAGAAAUAAGAAAAAGGGAAAGAGAGAAGGGGCCGAGGCGAGGCAUUCAUCGGAAGAGGCGAAGCAUUGGCCCCGGCCAUGCCAACACAAAGGGCUCGCCUCUGUUGCUUCUUUUCCCACACUUUCAUUUCCGAGGCGAGCGAUAAAAUAAAACGUCUUUACCCCCGAAUCAACACGCCCGGUGCAGUGCACUACGAUCUAAUUCCUAGUAAAAUAUUAGCACACGUCCCAUUCGCUGCUGCUGCUCGUGCUGCGUGGGAACAGCGAGUGACUGGAGCCAUCGCGAAUCAGGAACGUCCGUUUCUCCGGAUGGGAGAGCGCGAACGGGCGACAAUCCGAUUUGGAAAUGUUCUGGGUCAAGUGCAUCACAAGUCUCCGACUUUUGUUCGGUUUCGCUCUGGGCACGUAACGCUUUUUAGCUUAGGACGCUUUUCGUAAGGUAAAAAUGUACAAAAAUAUAUGUAUGACAUAUAAUUAUGUAGCCCUCACUAUUACCCUUUCAAAAUAUUAAAUUUAAUCUAAUAUGUAACUUGGAAUAUUAUGUCUUUAAUUACAGUAAUAAAAAUAUAAUUGCAUGAAUCAUGUAAAAUAACUAGACAUAGUAGGAUAACAGGUGCACACGGUUAAAUUCUAAAAUAAAAGAGCUAUCAAAUAGUUCAACUCAAAAUUUUAAUAUAAUUAUAUAGUAUUUUAAAAAAUUCAAGCAAAAAAUUAUUAUAAAUUAAAAUUUAAGGUCCAAAAUAUCAAAUAACUCAUAAUUUGAGGACCAAAUGCGUGACUAACCCUAGUCUAUAUUAAUAAAUAAGGUAAUUAAGUAUACAAAUAUACUUAGAACACAUUUUUAGUAUCUUCUCAUUUUGGCCAAUUUGUACUUUGAAACUCAAAAUAAGAGAAGUGUGAUAUUUUAAUUUUCAAAUGUCCAUUUAUUAUAAUUUCUAAUUUAGAAUUUUCAAAUUAUUAUCAGUAAGUUUCACGAUAAUAUUUAACUCGCAGAUUUGUGAUGUGUUACUGAUGUGAUGAGAUAUCUUUGUCAGUCCUGUAUUGUCCACCAAAUUUCAAUAUUAUAAAAAUAAUUUAAAAUUUUAGAAAAACUUUAAAUAUCACUUUUGUGGUUUCGUACUUUUUUUACUUUAGUACUACGUGAUUUAAAGUAUAUCACUUUCGUAUCAUAUAAUUUUAUUCUAUUUUUAUUACCCGUUCACUAAUUUUUUUAAUUAAAUUAGUGAUAAAAUUAAAACUAAAAAAUAUUAAAGUAAACUAUAAGUGAAGUAUCUGAAAUUUUUUUAUAUAUGAUUUAAUAAAAAAUUAACGAAGGAGCUGACAAAAAAUAAUAAUAAUAAUAAUCACAUGAUACUCAAUUCAUACGAGCUACAUCAUAAGGUAAUAAAAUGACAAAGUGCGAGACGCCAGGGGCGAUAUUUGAAGCUUCCCCUAAAAAUUAUGGAUCAAAGGAUGAAAAGUGCAAUUUAGCCUUACAGUUUCCCAUUUUCGGAUGCCCGUAGAUCAUAGCACAUGCACCUAUCAUUCGGAAUAAGACACAGAUUCGAACGUUGAAUGUUCAACUUGUAAAAAAACAAAAGAAGAAGAAGAAUGAGAAAAAAGAAGAAGGAGAAGGAGAAGAAUCAAAGUGAGGCGUGGUCAAAAGUUGGGUGGAAGUGUGGUGCAAUUUAGGGUUAGUUUUGCAAGGGGAGGUGACAGAGAUCGCAGUGGUGGGUAUCCGUGAAUAGUGUUCUCCCUAAUAACCGAAAUGGAAAAAUGAAAGCGACGCGUUGGGAGCAUUCGCAGAGCAUUAAUUAAUGAACUACCACCACUUGCACCAGCACCACCACCAGCACCACCACCACCACUACUGCUAUUGCUACUGCUAUAUACUGCUGCUGCUGCUGCUGCUGCGGCUGCUAAAACCAAACCAGUGUGAGUCCACUACAACCAUGUACUUCAAAACCCUUAUUUUCCGAUCUCCUUUCAAAUUGUUUCUUUGUGCUUUUUUUGUAACGUAGUAAAAGAAGCGAUAGGGAUGGAUCAUUCCAAAAAGCGAAAGCCAAGAAAAGAGAAAAAACAAAUAGUAAAGGGUUUGGAAGAGUCAAAAAGAGAGAUAUAGAGAGAGAGAGAAUGUGCUGUGUAGAGAGAGAGCGCGAAGGAAGAGAGAGAGAGAGAGAGAGAGAGAGAGAGAGGAAGCAGAAGCCAUAAAUAGCGGAGAGAGAAAGCUAAAGCAGGUACAUCCAAAAAAGGAAUCCCCGCGAGAUCCUUAUUUUGCCCUAGAAAUUGUAUGCGCCUAUCACCUGUUCGUUGUAUGUUCUCUCACACUUUUCAAUACAAACAACUAGCUAGGAAUUAAUCGCACAAUAAAAUAGUAUGCACCGCAUUAAUUAGGCGCGAGUAGGAACGAAAUCGAGCAUCGGCUAGGGUUUAGGGUUCGGACCUGGAAGAAGGAGGCGACGGCGGGGACCUCGACGGCGAUGGCCUCCACGAUGUGCUCCGGCCACAUCGCCGCGGCGGAGGAUCCCGGCGCCGAGGACGACGAUGGCUCCCCCGCCUCGGCGCCGCGGCGGCGUCGGCGGCGCCGGCGGCGGCCGAGGCCGGGAUCCGCGCUCCCCUCCCCAAUCUCCUCCUCUCCGCCGCCUCUCUCCCCCGACAUUGCUCGGUAAUCGCAAUGCGGCGGGAGAGGAAGGAGAAGAGAGCGUAGUACGGGAGAGUGUAGAGAGAGAGAGUGUGAUAGAUAGAGAGAGAAGUGGCCGAGGACUGGAGAGAGAGAGAGAGAUAGAGGGACGGGAGAGGAACCGCACAAAACGCGGCGAUAUAUAGGGGGGGAGCGGCGAUGUUUUCUACUGUUUACUUCGAAUAUUUUAAUACGAAUUAUGUUAAAUAUAAUAUAAUAAUAAUAAUAUAAUAACAUGCCUAUAGCUAUAUCUUAUUUUAUUUUUAACGCGUUACAUAAAUAAACAAAUAUUAUUUACUGUGCAGUAGGAUAUAUGUUGCGUGCUCAAAGGCGGCGUGACCGCUGCACAGUACUAGCAUGGACUAGCCGGAUAAAAGAGUCGUAGGAGCUCCGCGGGAAAAAAAUUUAGAGUACAACGGAUAUAUUGAUGACGUGGCGUAACGAAUCAAUCAAAUAUUUUUUUUAAAAAUAUAUAUUUUAUCAUGAUUGUAAAAAAAAUAUUUUUAUUGUAUUUUUGUUUGAAAAAAAAGAAUGUGAUUGACUUGUUAUUUAUGACGUGGUGCAAGUAUGAUAAUGUAGAAUUCCUCCUCCGCGGGAGACUCACAUGUUGACCGCCCAUCGUUUUUCCACUUUUUUUUUUUCUCUUCUAGGCCUGCAAAACAAUAAGAUAAAGUGAUUUAGAAAAAUUACAGCUUCCAUACACAGAUUGAGUUAUAUAUGCCCAUAUCUCAACUAGGAUGCAAACUGUGGAGAUUUGGAGUUUUUUAAUAAUUCUUUAACGUGUUAAAAUAGAACAAUAGAAAGAAAAAAUUCCUCGAUUCCUCGUCUUCUGCUUCAUUUUCUUAACGAAAUAUAAUAGACUCAAUGUUGAUUGCUUGUUUUCUUAUUUUUUGCCUCUUAUUUGGGAUGGAUCGAAACAGCCGUUGGUAAGAAAAUAUAAUCUUCAUUUGUCUUUUAUUUUUGAUGUUCUUAUCAAAGUGAAAGGCGUACUAUUAAGUAAAUAAAGAGUAAAGAAUUCUCAUCCAGCUUGUUACUUAAUUCAUUUCUCUAAUUAACGAAGUUAAUAGUAUGUUAUUUUUUUCAAAAAAAAAGAGUUCAUCAUAUAGCUAGUCUCUUAUUACAUCCGCCCUGGUGACUCUCAAUUUGGUUCUAAAUUCGUCCCCUACUUAGUCGGAGUUUUCAAUUUCUCAUUUCGAAAGUGAUGAUCGGUCUAGAACGGUGACGUCUUCAUUUUUUUUUUUUUUGUUUCAUGAGGCACCCUUUUCAUGUUCACGUUGGAUGAAAUCUUAUUUUAUGAUGAUUGCAUGGAGUUGCAACUGUAAUUUAUUGUUUGUUGUUGCUCGAAUUGGUCAAACUUAUGUAACUGCAAUUGUAAAACACGACCCAACUGCAGUAGUUGCACCUAACCACCAACAACACAACUGAUCACGCAUGGAGCUGUAGUUGCUUACUAUCUUGUUCCCUCCUUUAGUCCUUCGCAUUCUUGUGCCAGCUUCGUCACUGCUCUCGUGAAAACCCUUGCAAUGAUGGUCGCCAUUAGCGAGCGGCGAAAGCGUUUCGAGAGCCGUAAUCUCCACCGUCACCUUGCACUGCUAUUGAGAGUCGCACAACCAUUCUUUGUCGCCGCAAACACCAAAAAAGAGAAAAGGGCAAAUUUGAGUCAUUGCAACCUAUGAGAUACACAAGCAAUACUAGCUGUACGUCUUUUUUUUUUCUUUUUUUUUUGAGAUAAAUAAUAUGCUAUCCGUUUUGUUUAUUUAAUUUAGAAAUAAAUUUAGUUAGAAAUGUAGAUCACUAGGAUUCGAACUUGGAACUUCGGGUAUCAAUCACUAAAUUCUUUGCCACUUGCGCUAGGAACGAUCGAUGCUAUACUUCUAAAAUUGGAUGUAAAAUUUUCAUUCCACACAUUAUAUGAAUGUGAAUUUUUUUACUGGUCACCUCGGUGUGCCUAUUCGAAAACCUCAUCCAUGGAAUGAAUUUAGCAUGGAACCUCGGUGUGCCUAUUCGAAAACCUCAUCCAUGGAAUGAAUUUAGCAUGGAAUUUAGACCACAAAAAGGGUGUAUAGGUUACACCCUAUGCUUUCUAGGGUGUAGCUUUUUUUAACUAGUUUUAUCCCACUUUUGUUUAUUAAAAUUUUAAAAAAAAUCCCUAACACCCGUUUGGUUCGGAGUCAAGAGAUGGAAUAACCUUUUAACCCCGAAGUUAUUUCCAAACAUCCAAUUUGGGAGGUGGGGCCUAUCCCAUUCCACUACUCCAAUCAAACAAAAUACUAUUUUAUCCACUAUUCUUCUUAUCCUAUCUAUUCCAACCAAACACUAUUUUAUCUAUUCUUGGACUAAAUCCAAUUCUCAACCAAACACAAUAUUACUCUAAUCUCAUCUUAACCCUGAACUUAACUCUAUCUCUGAAAUAACAAAUUUUUACUUAAUUCCGAAUCAAACGGUGGCUAAGAAAUUAGAUC
This 7329-nucleotide long non-coding RNA is filed under the name Ananas comosus (pineapple). RNAcentral's name for it is "long non-coding RNA (ACOM_LNC006646)". The record is from RNAcentral. Lineage: Eukaryota; Viridiplantae; Streptophyta; Magnoliopsida; Poales; Bromeliaceae.